Molecule: ribosomal RNA, 486 nt
Filed under: uncultured Microlunatus sp.
Lineage: Bacteria; Bacillati; Actinomycetota; Actinomycetes; Propionibacteriales; Propionibacteriaceae
Description: bacterial SSU rRNA
Rfam family: Bacterial small subunit ribosomal RNA
Source: RNAcentral
AGUAGUUUGACUCUGGCUCAGGACGACGCUGGCGGCGUGCUUAACACAUGCAAGUCGAACGCGUGUGCCCCUUCGGGGGUAGUCACGAGUGGCGAACGGGUGAGUAACACGUGAGCAACCUGCCCUUGACACUGGAAUAACAGCUGGAAACAGCUGCUAAUACCGGAUACGACCUCAACAGACAUCUGUAGAGGUGGAAAGCUCCGGCGGUCAGGGAUGGGCUCGCGGCCUAUCAGCUUGUUGGUGAGGUAACGGCUCACCAAGGCUUCGACGGGUAGCCGGCCUGAGAGGGCGACCGGCCACACUGGGACUGAGAUACGGCCCAGACUCCUACGGGAGGCAGCAGUGGGGAAUAUUGCACAAUGGGCGCAAGCCUGAUGCAGCAACGCCGCGUGCGGGAUGACGGCCUUCGGGUUGUAAACCGCUUUCAGCUCCGACGAAGCGAAAGUGACGGUAGGAGCAGAAGAAGGACCGGCCAACUACGUG